UACGUAGGGGGCGAGCGUUAUCCGGAUUUACUGGGCGUAAAGCGCAUUAAGGCGGCCGGCAAAGUUGGUGGUGAAAUUUCAGGGCUCAACCCUGAAACUGCCUCCAAUAUUGGUUGGCUAGAGUGUGAGAGAGGAAGGUGGAAUUCCCGGUGUAGUAGUGAAAUGCGUAGAUAUCGGGAGGAACACCAGUGGCGAAGGCGGCCUUCUGGCUCAUAACUGACGCUGUAGUGCGAAAGCGUGGGGAGCGAACGGG
RNAcentral lists this ribosomal RNA (253 nucleotides) under uncultured bacterium. RNAcentral describes it as "partial 16S ribosomal RNA". It matches the Rfam family "Bacterial small subunit ribosomal RNA", at positions 524 to 776 of the family's 1533-position model. The record is from RNAcentral.